This 310-nucleotide ribosomal RNA is filed under the name uncultured bacterium. RNAcentral's name for it is "bacterial SSU rRNA". It matches the Rfam family "Bacterial small subunit ribosomal RNA", at positions 43 to 342 of the family's 1533-position model. The record is from RNAcentral.
CAGGCCUAACACAUGCAAGUCGAGCGGACAGAAGGGAGCUUGCUUCCGGAUGUUAGCGGCGGACGGGUGAGUAACACGUGGGUAACCUGCCUGUAAGACUGGGAUAACUCCGGGAAACCGGAGCUAAUACCGGAUAGUUCCUUGAACCGCAUGGUUCAAGGAUGAAAGACGGUUUCGGCUGUCACUUACAGAUGGACCCGCGGCGCAUUAGCUAGUUGGUGAGGUAACGGCUCACCAAGGCGACGAUGCGUAGCCGACCUGAGAGGGUGAUCGGCCACACUGGGACUGAGACACGGCCCAGCACUCCUAC